This 1407-nucleotide long non-coding RNA is filed under the name Anolis carolinensis (green anole). RNAcentral describes it as "lncRNA (ENSACAG00000035120.1)". Lineage: Eukaryota; Metazoa; Chordata; Lepidosauria; Squamata; Anolidae. The record is from RNAcentral.
GUGAUUGUACUGAGCAUGUUCAGACGCAGGACUCCCUUUUGUAUCAGACCUGAGGCUGUUAGGAAUGGUGGGAGUUGGAGUUGGUUUGCCAGUUUGACUGUAUUUCUUUGGUGUGAGAGGGGUUGUAGACAUGUGAUUGUACUGAGCAUGUUCAGACGCAGGACUCCCUUUUGUAUUCACUUUUGCAUCAGACCUGAGUUGGAGUUGGUUUGCCAGUUUGACUGUAUUUCUUUGGUGUGAGAGGGGUUGUAGACAUGUGAUUGUACUGAGCAUGUUCAGACGCAGGACUCCCUUUUGUAUUCACUUUUGUAUCAGACCUGAGGCUGUUAGGAAUGGUGGGAGUUGGAGUCCAAAACACCUGGAAAGAGGACCCAAGUGUGUCUAUGCCUGGUGCAGAUGCAAGAGAGCCAUGGUGUAGAUGCAACUCAUACUUGGUGUAGAUGAAAUGGAUGAUGCCCUUCUUCUUGCAAGAAGAGGAGACUAGCACCCAUUAUCCAUUCAUGCACCCCAAUGAAUAAUGGGGUUGCCAAAGGCCAGGGUUGUCCCCGAUCCCUUUCCCAAUCCGGGCCUGGGAUGCUCUUUCUCUCUGUUGACAGGCGUGACUCCUACUCAGUGUAGCAGGCACAUUCUCCGGAAAUGAAUGGCCGAUUAUCACCUCGUUUACAACUCAUCAAGAAAUUAUGUAAUUUUCGAAAAAAAUAGAAAAGGUUCUGGGAGCCUCGCCUUUCCCUGCAAGGUGUGAUUAGGAGAAACGGGACCGUUGAUGGAUAUACAUAUUCCAAAGUGACCCAUAUGUUGAUGGAAACUUGCACCACUUGUUGCACCAACAAGGAGUUUCUAUAUAGAAGGGUUCAGGGUGGGUUUGCUCUUGGCCUUCCUCUCGUGAUUGAGGAUGGGACGCCCAAAUUAUGAAUUAGACACAAUUUGCAUGAUGAAAAGUUUUUCCCCUGACAUUAAGUCUAGUCGUGUCUGACUCUGGGUGUUGGUGCUCAUCUCCAUUUCUAAGCCGAAGAGCCGGCGUUGUCCGUAGACACCUCCAAGGCCAUGUGAAUGGAGCACUGUUACCUUCCCGCCGGAGCAGUACCUAUUGAUCUACUCACAUUUGCAUGUUCUCAAAAUGCUCGGUUGGCAGAAGCUGGAGUUAACAGUGGGAGCUCACCCCGCUCCCCAAAUUCAAACCGCCAACCUUUUGGUCAGCAAGUUCAGCAGCUCGGAGGGUUUAACCUGGUGCGCCACUGGGGGUCCCUUGGGGAGAUAAAGCAUACAUAUUAAUAAUAAUAAAAAUAAUAAUAAUGUGUUAUAAUGGCAUAUAAUAAUAAUGCCAUAAUGAUAUGUAAUAAUAAUAAUAAUAAUAAUGUGGUAUAAUGACAUAUAUAUUAUAAUGAUGAUGAUGAUGAUGAUGUGUUA